Long non-coding RNA from Oncorhynchus tshawytscha (Chinook salmon), 1912 nucleotides. NCBI's taxonomy places the organism in Eukaryota, Metazoa, Chordata, Actinopteri, Salmoniformes, Salmonidae. The record is from Ensembl.
UUUAUUAGUGUGGACUGUGUGUAAGGAAGAGUUUCUGUAAACUCAUGCCAUGCUCUUCCAAUAAGGGCAAGGUCAUGGCUAAGGGCCAACCAACCAGUUAAAUUAGGGAGAGGAGCAAAGGGUUGCUCUCGUGUAAUAUAACAAGGAAUGGAAAAGGGGUGUGGGGGUCGAUGUGGGAUCUAUGACAUCAUAGAACCUCCUCUGCAUGCUCAUGUUUAUUUACCGGAUUUAACCAAAUCCAUCUCUGAAUGAACUACUGCGCAACAUAAGUUGAAUUUAGUACUCUCUCUUUCUCUCACUCACACACAUACAAAAGCUGUGCAGUAGACAUAACUGUGUUCACAGUUAAUGUACAUAUGUUGUGUUUUUACCCAACUACCAGCACAUACUUUGCGACUGUCACAAAUUGAGAUACCGUUAUCUUUUGUAAAUCAUGCGUUAAAGGUAGAGUCAGCGAUAUGACUAGAUGCAGAAAGUAAACAGCAUAGUGGAUCAAUUUCCGGCAUCAACCAAGAGCGCUAAAGCGCGAAGAUCAACUUCUCCGCUGUUUUGGUGCCCUGGCUCAUCUGCUCGUGGCAACAUCAUUUCGCUGAGUUUGCCUUGGAAAGGGGCAAUCAACAGUUGCUAUAUCCAUUUUUGGACACCAUGACUCUUUCCACAUUUUGUUACCCUUUCCUGCUGAGGCUAGAGUCAGUGAGGCCCACCCGGGGCAUGAAGAAGGCAGAGAAGCUGGCAGACUACCAGUGCCAGGCCGGAUACCUGGGCAUCGCCACCACGCUCUCUGCCAUAGACAGAUCGCCCUCCAAUAUGGAACGGACCUCCAGCAGAACGUCAGCAGGAAAGAUGCCCAGGCCUGGCAGUACCAACCACCACCACAGUGCCAGGGCAUCAUAUGCCAUCGCUAUCGCCGCCACACCCCUACCCAGGCAUGCCAGUGCGGCAGCGUCCCGGCAACCUGGUCCUGAGAGCUGUGCUCAGGGAGGAGCACCAUUCCCCAACUCCCCACCUUACCAAGACCUUACCAAUAAGGCAAUUACUUGCCCCUAAACACUGAUCCAAGCAGGUGGUGUAACGCUCGUCGUUGGGAGAGAGAGAGGAGGACCAAGGUGCAACGUGGUGGUAAGUAUUCAGAGUCUCUUUUAUUGAAAACGAAUACUUGCACAAAAACAACUAAACGAAACGAGAACGAAACGAAAACAGUCCUGAAUGGUGAAAUACAAACACAGAACAGAAAAUAAACACCCACGCAACACAGGUGGAAAAAGGCUACCGAAGUAUGAUUCUCAAUCAGAGACAACUAACGACACCUGCCUCUGAUUGAGAACCAUACCAGGCCAACCUCAAAAACCAACAUAGAAAAACCAACAUAGACAACCCACCCAACUCACGCCCUGACCAUACUAAAACAAAGACCUAAAUAAAAGAACUAAGGUCAGAACGUGACAGGUGGUGCCUAUCAAUAUGCUUAGUGAAUAGAGGAAGUACUAUGUAUGCCAUGCUGUAUUUCCACUCUUGUGAAAUUUGUUCAAGUGGAACUUUUCAUCAAUGUUUCUGUUAUUGUUGUGUGUCACACCCUGACCAUAGUUUACUUUGUAUAUUUCUAUGUUUUGGUUGGUCAGGGUGUGAGCUGAGUGGGCAUUCUAUGUUUCAUGUCUAGUUUGUCUAUUUCUAUGUCUGGCCUGAUAUGGUUCUCAAUCAGAGGCAGGUGUUAGUCAUUGUCUCUGAUUGGGAACCAUAUUUAGGUAGCAUGGGUUUCACUGUGUGUUUGUGGGGGAUUGUUCCUGUAUCUGUGUUUUCACCAGAUAGGGCUGUUUUUGUAUUGAUUCGUGUUUUACGUUUGUUGAUUAAACAUGGAUCGCAAUCUACACGCCGCAUUUUGGUCCGACUCUCCUUCACCAAAAGAGAACCGUUA